RNAcentral lists this ribosomal RNA (551 nucleotides) under Serratia sp. BUME18. RNAcentral's name for it is "bacterial SSU rRNA". It matches the Rfam family "Bacterial small subunit ribosomal RNA", at positions 843 to 1394 of the family's 1533-position model. Lineage: Bacteria; Pseudomonadati; Pseudomonadota; Gammaproteobacteria; Enterobacterales; Yersiniaceae. The record is from RNAcentral.
CUUCCGGAGUUAACGCGUUAAAUCGUCCGCCUGGGGAGUACGGCCGCAAGGUUAAAACUCAAAUGAAUUGACGGGGGCCCGCACAAGCGGUGGAGCAUGUGGUUUAAUUCGAUGCAACGCGAAGAACCUUACCUACUCUUGACAUCCAGAGAACUUAGCAGAGAUGGUUUGGUGCCUUCGGGAACUCUGAGACAGGUGCUGCAUGGCUGUCGUCAGCUCGUGUUGUGAAAUGUUGGGUUAAGUCCCGCAACGAGCGCAACCCUUAUCCUUUGUUGCCAGCGGUUCGGCCGGGAACUCAAAGGAGACUGCCAGUGAUAAACUGGAGGAAGGUGGGGAUGACGUCAAGUCAUCAUGGCCCUUACGAGUAGGGCUACACACGUGCUACAAUGGCGUAUACAAAGAGAAGCGACCUCGCGAGAGCAAGCGGUCUUCAUAAACUAUGUUGUAGUCCGGAUUGGAGUUUGCAAUUGGACUCCAUGAAGUCGGAAUCGUUAGUAAUCGUAGAUCAGAAUGCUACGGUGAAUACGUUCCCGGCCCUUGUACACACCGCC